AUUAGUUAUUAAAUAUUAGUGUCAAAAAGAUAAGUUUCAUCUUCUAAGUGUUUUUAACUUUUUGAGGUUAUGACUUGGUUACUUACAGUUAUUAUGAAAUGGAUAGGAUUAAUAUUUUUAGUCUGUAACUUUCAGAUACUUUUAGUAAAAAAGUUUUAAUUUGUCUCAUUUUACUACAUCUAAUGUCUGCUAAACAUUUUCAUGGAAUCAUUUCAUAGUUAUAUAGUUAUAAAUUUACUGUUAUAGAUGUUAAUUUAAGAUAAUAUUAUUUUGCAUGUCUUUUGAACACUUCAGAAAGAGAUUGUUACAUUUUAGCAGGCAUAUGUUUAGAUUUAGAGAUAAGUAC
RNAcentral lists this long non-coding RNA (346 nucleotides) under Bos taurus (domestic cattle). RNAcentral describes it as "long non-coding RNA NONBTAT015074". The record is from RNAcentral. Lineage: Eukaryota; Metazoa; Chordata; Mammalia; Artiodactyla; Bovidae.